UAGGGAAUCUUCCACAAUGGGCGAAAGCCUGAUGGAGCAACGCCGCGUGUGUGAUGAGGGCUUUCGGGUCGUAAAGCACUGUUGUAUGGGAAGAACAGCUAGAAUAGGAAAUGAUUUUAGUUUGACGGUACCAUACCAGAAAGGGACGGCUAAAUACGUGCCAG
This 164-nucleotide ribosomal RNA is filed under the name uncultured bacterium. Its description in RNAcentral is "partial 16S rRNA". It matches the Rfam family "Bacterial small subunit ribosomal RNA", at positions 355 to 511 of the family's 1533-position model. The record is from RNAcentral.